RNAcentral lists this ribosomal RNA (827 nucleotides) under Neohelicosporium parvisporum. RNAcentral's name for it is "LSU rRNA". It matches the Rfam family "Eukaryotic large subunit ribosomal RNA", at positions 75 to 928 of the family's 3401-position model. The record is from RNAcentral. Lineage: Eukaryota; Fungi; Ascomycota; Dothideomycetes; Tubeufiales; Tubeufiaceae.
UUGCCUCAGUAACGGCGAGUGAAGCGGCAACAGCUCAAAUUUGAAAUCUGGCUUCGGCCCGAGUUGUAAUUUGUAGAGGAUGCUUCGGCUUACGUACCGGUCUAAGUUCCUUGGAACAGGACGUCACAGAGGGUGAGAAUCCCGUUUGUGGCCGGCACUUCCGCCAUGUGAAGCUCCUUCGACGAGUCGAGUUGUUUGGGAAUGCAGCUCUAAAUGGGAGGUAAAUUUCUUCUAAAGCUAAAUACCGGCCAGAGACCGAUAGCGCACAAGUAGAGUGAUCGAAAGAUGAAAAGCACUUUGGAAAGAGAGUUAAAAAGUACGUGAAAUUGUUGAAAGGGAAGCGCUUGCGACCAGACUUGCCCGCGGAUGCUCAACCGGUCCUUCGGCCGGUGCACUCUUCCGCGGUCAGGCCAGCAUCAGUUCGGGCGGUCGGAUAAAGGCCUUGGGAAUGUGGCUCUCUUCGGGGAGUGUUAUAGCCCUUGGUGUAAUACGGCCCGCCUGGACUGAGGCCCGCGCUUCGGCUAGGAUGCUGGCGUAAUGGUCGUAAGCGGCCCGUCUUGAAACACGGACCAAGGAGUCUAACAUCUAUGCGAGUGUUUGGGUGUCAAACCCGUGCGCGAAAUGAAAGUGAACGGAGGUGGGAACCUUAGGGUGCACCAUCGACCGAUCCUGAUGUCUUCGGAUGGAUUUGAGUAAGAGCAUAGCUGUUGGGACCCGAAAGAUGGUGAACUAUGCCUGAAUAGGGUGAAGCCAGAGGAAACUCUGGUGGAGGCUCGCAGCGGUUCUGACGUGCAAAUCGAUCGUCAAAUUUGGGUAUAGGGGCGAAA